UUUUUGUUUAUCUGGCUGAAGACAUCUUUGAGUGAGAUUCCUUCGUCCCUUUUCUGUGAUGUAUAAGUAAUCUUACUCAUCUCGGUCCUCUAUGCCGUGGCACGUAAUCGUCCUUUAUUAACAGCUAGCUGAAAACGUUCGAGAACCCAGUCUCCCUCUUCAUCAUCUCAAAGUCAGACUGGUCGUCACGAUGAAAAUAAUAAUUGUUGGACGCAGUGAUGAGCAGAAGCACCAACCCAAGUGUCGCGAGGCAACUUAACUCAGCCUCCCAUUACCGACCCACAAGGCCACCACCGCCUCAAGGGGUCCGCUCGUUCAGUUUGCACAAACGGCGAAGCGCCGUUUAGUCAUGAGGAUAAUCAUACCCAGCAUCUCGGCGCUCCUUUUGCUCUCUCAGGGUAUCGUCUGUCUCCAGUGGGAAGAGCCUACGAUUACGACGCAUCAGUACCCGUCUGACAUUCCCUACACACCCACUGGGGAAGAAGAAGAACUUCUAGCUUCCCUGCCUUCGGUGGAACGCCUGGACUGUUGCUCUGAGUCGUCCCCCCAUCACAAAGAAAAGGUUUCCUGGGUCGUCCAGGCAAUUGAGGAGCAGCGAAAGUUGAUUUCUCAGUUGCAGAGGAGGUUCGACGUUCUGGAAGAGAAGUCUAAGGGACUUGACUGCUGCAAGAAUUCCGUGAGGAGGCCACGCUGGCUUGCAACAGGAGCGGAGAUGUUCAGCCCAAAGGAAGGUGACUUCCCAAAAGAAACUUAUCCGUAGUGCAAAAAGAAAGAAAAAAAAAACUUAAUUGAAUUACGUGCGAGGAUUCUCCAUUAAGCCAAAACUGCUAAGUAUAAAAGAAUGUCGGAUUUACUCUAACAGUAGAUAUAACUAAUGGAGUUUGUGCAUAGUAAUAUAUUUAUAUAAAAUACUCAAUUUGUAUGAUCAUGAAGAAAUUAUCUUAUCCUAACGGCAAAAUCUCUUUAGCUUGUAAAUAGUAUAUGGCAUACGUACGCCGUGAAUCCAUUGCUACCUGUAUUAUAAAGAAUGUUGAUGGUUA
This is a long non-coding RNA of Macrobrachium nipponense, 1040 nucleotides long. RefSeq lists it as uncharacterized. The record is from RefSeq and is a predicted model, not a curated record. NCBI's taxonomy places the organism in Eukaryota, Metazoa, Arthropoda, Malacostraca, Decapoda, Palaemonidae. The transcript has 2 exons.